AACAGGAGUUAGUAUGUAGUCUUUUACCAUAUAUUGAUAUUCGGAGUUCGCUGAUAACACCUUUAUUUUUUACCAGGGGGUGUUUCAAUAGUACCUCUCCAUAUACAU
Lycium ferocissimum is the source of this 108-nucleotide small nucleolar RNA. Lineage: Eukaryota; Viridiplantae; Streptophyta; Magnoliopsida; Solanales; Solanaceae. The record is from RefSeq and is a predicted model, not a curated record.